This 774-nucleotide ribosomal RNA is filed under the name uncultured Neocallimastigales. RNAcentral's name for it is "partial large subunit ribosomal RNA". It matches the Rfam family "Eukaryotic large subunit ribosomal RNA", at positions 23 to 617 of the family's 3401-position model. The record is from RNAcentral. Lineage: Eukaryota; Fungi; Neocallimastigomycota; Neocallimastigomycetes; Neocallimastigales.
AGAGAGAGACAUGCGCGCAUAUCAAUAAGCGGAGGAAAAGAAACUAACAAGGAUUCCCCUAGUAACGGCGAGUGAAGCGGGAAGAGCUCAAAUUUGAAAUCUUAAAGGGUUUCCCUUUACGAAUUGUAGUUUAAAGAAGUGUUUUCUGUUGAGGUUUUGGUAAAAGUUCUUUGGAAUAGGACAUCAUAGAGGGUGAGAAUCCCGUAUUUGACCUUUACUUUCAACUUUGUGAUACACUUUCAAAGAGUCGGAUUGUUUGGGAAUGCAGUCCAAAAUGGGUGGUAAAUUUCAUCUAAAGCUAAAUAUUGGCGAGAGACCGAUAGCGAACAAGUACCGUGAGGGAAAGAUGAAAAGAACUUUGAAAAGAGAGUUAAACAGUACGUGAAAUUGUCAAAAGGGAAGCGUUUGACACCAGUGUUGUUUUUCUGAAAAUCAAUUAAAGAACUGUUUAUGCUAAGUUGUUUAGACUUUAUCAGCUAACUGUUUAGUUUUGAGCUUUUCUUUAAUGCACUUUUCAGUUAACAAGUCAACAUCAAUUUCUUUUGCUGUAAAAAAGCUUGAGGAAGGUGGCUUGAGAUUCGUCUUAAGUGUUUAUAGCCUCUUGCCUAUGCAGUCGGAGAGAUUGAGGUCUGCAGCGUAGAUCCUUCGGGGCUAAAUGCAUUUGUGCUAAGUUAUAGCAUUUUAUAGACAACUUGUUGACUAUGAUUUGUCUUAGUAGCUUACUCGCUUAUGUUAUUUUACCUACGCUUAGGAUGUUGAGCGCAUGUCUCUCUC